GUGUUUUAUUUUGGUACUCUGGUAAUAAUCACCUCCAGCGUGUACAGUGUCAUUCCCUACAGAAGGCUGGAUGUUCUCAAAGCUGUAGUAUUUACGUCUGUGAAGUUUUUCUCUACACGGUGUGUUUUUUGAAACUACUUUUAAGGUUUUGAUGAUGGGUUUGAAAAUGCACAAUUUUAUUUUCUCUGAAUGGCAAUGUGAGCAAUACAAAAUUACACAUCACUCUCGGUGGGAGAUUGACUGAAGAGAUCGGACAGGAUUCAGAUCCAUUCGUACUGGCUGCCUGGAGGGGCUGUAUUGAUAAUAUCCUAGCCUGCAAGGCUCAAUCCAUCCCCUGGGGCGCUCAGCAGCAAGUGGAUGAAGAGUCCCCGGACGGUCUUUUGGCUCCACCGCUAGACAUUGCAACAGAGGAAGAGAUCUGAACUCGUUCGAGUGCAGCAGAGCGAGGGGCAGAGAGCAGUGAUCACAGACGAGGGACCAGAUGGGAGAGAAAGUGACUUCCCGCUGUACUUCCACUACAUGGCUUGUUCCCUCACAUUAAUACCUUCGCUGCUCAGCUCCAUUUGUUACACACACUCCAGACACACACUCAGGGGGAGCCUCGGGCUGUGAAUGAUGGCCAUAUGCAGAACUGCGCUCAUCUAUAACCCCCCGUGGCUGCAACAAAGUACAGUAGGCACCUUGAGUGUUUCAACAAAGGUUAACAUUUAGAAGUUCUGCGGGCCUGUCUGAUUCGGC
Long non-coding RNA from Oreochromis aureus, 738 nucleotides. Lineage: Eukaryota; Metazoa; Chordata; Actinopteri; Cichliformes; Cichlidae. The record is from Ensembl.